CCUACGGGAGGCAGCAGUGGGGAAUAUUGGACAAUGGGGGCAACCCUGAUCCAGCCAUGCCGCGUGUGUGAAGAAGGCCCUCGGGUUGUAAAGCACUUUCAGUGAGGAAGAACGCCUGGUGGUUAAUACCCAUCAGGAAAGACGUCACUCACAGAAGAAGCACCGGCUAACUCCGUGCCAGCAGCCGCGGUAAUACGGAGGGUGCGAGCGUUAAUCGGAAUUACUGGGCGUAAAGCGCGCGUAGGUGGCUUGAUAAGCCGGUUGUGAAAGCCCCGGGCUCAACCUGGGAACGGCAUCCGGAACUGUCAAGCUAGAGUGCAGGAGAGGAAGGUAGAAUUCCCGGUGUAGCGGUGAAAUGCGUAGAGAUCGGGAGGAAUACCAGUGGCGAAGGCGGCCUUCUGGACUGACACUGACACUGAGGUGCGAAAGCGUGGGUAGCAAACAGGAUUAGAUACCCUUGUAGUC
RNAcentral lists this ribosomal RNA (465 nucleotides) under Vreelandella stevensii. RNAcentral's name for it is "partial 16S ribosomal RNA". It matches the Rfam family "Bacterial small subunit ribosomal RNA", at positions 338 to 795 of the family's 1533-position model. The record is from RNAcentral. Lineage: Bacteria; Pseudomonadati; Pseudomonadota; Gammaproteobacteria; Oceanospirillales; Halomonadaceae.